UUUGUUAUGCUAUCAAAACUGUUUCAAAGCAUUUCACUUGCUUGAAGAAUGCACUUCUGGACCAAAUUCACUUCACAGGCAAAACUUCUGAUGAUGGUCGUGGUGAAAGAAUUCCCAGAUUUUGGGCAGCUGAUGAGCAAAACCAAAAUCCAAGUCUCAACAUCAGUUUUCUUCAACAUCCUGUUUGGAGAUCUCAAAGAGGACUACCAGAUCAUGCAGUAGCUGUCCUUAAGGCAUGG
Molecule: unclassified non-coding RNA, 239 nt
Filed under: Hevea brasiliensis (rubber tree)
Lineage: Eukaryota; Viridiplantae; Streptophyta; Magnoliopsida; Malpighiales; Euphorbiaceae
Source: RNAcentral